This 23-nucleotide non-coding RNA is filed under the name Arabidopsis thaliana (thale cress). The record is from RNAcentral. Lineage: Eukaryota; Viridiplantae; Streptophyta; Magnoliopsida; Brassicales; Brassicaceae.
CACAAGAUCAGUCGGUGUCGUCA